RNAcentral lists this ribosomal RNA (205 nucleotides) under Penicillium aeneum. Its description in RNAcentral is "partial 28S ribosomal RNA". It matches the Rfam family "Eukaryotic large subunit ribosomal RNA", at positions 1 to 204 of the family's 3401-position model. Lineage: Eukaryota; Fungi; Ascomycota; Eurotiomycetes; Eurotiales; Aspergillaceae. The record is from RNAcentral. RNAcentral also lists the same sequence under 2 other names.
UUGACCUCGGAUCAGGUAGGGAUACCCGCUGAACUUAAGCAUAUCAAUAAGCGGAGGAAAAGAAACCAACAGGGAUUGCCCCAGUAACGGCGAGUGAAGCGGCAAGAGCUCAAAUUUGAAAGCUGGCCCCCUCGGGGUCCGCAUUGUAAUUUGCAGAGGAUGCUUCGGGAGUGGCCCCCAUCUAAGUGCUCUGGAACGGGCCGUC